CAGCAGCCGCGGUAAUACGUAGGGUGCAAGCGUUAAUCGGAAUUACUGGGCGUAAAGCGUGCGCAGGCGGUUUGUUAAGUCUGCUGUGAAAUCCCCGGGCCCAACCUGGGAAUGGCAGUGGAUACUGGCUCGCUAGAGUGUGUCAGAGGAUGGUGGAAUUCCCGGUGUAGCGGUGAAAUGCGUAGAGAUCGGGAGGAACAUCAGUGUCGAAGGCGGCCAUCUGGGACAACACUGACGCUGAGGCACGAAAGCGUGGGGAGCAAACAGGAUUAGAUACCCCUGUAGUCCCUGUCUCUUAUAC
This 301-nucleotide ribosomal RNA is filed under the name uncultured bacterium. RNAcentral's name for it is "partial 16S ribosomal RNA". It matches the Rfam family "Bacterial small subunit ribosomal RNA", at positions 509 to 807 of the family's 1533-position model. The record is from RNAcentral.